ACCGGGUCUAAUACUGGAUACUACUUCCUGCCGCAUGGUGGGGGGUGGAAAGGGUUUUACUGGUUUUGGAUGGGCUCACGGCCUAUCAGCUUGUUGGUGGGGUAAUGGCUCACCAAGGCGACGACGGGUAGCCGGCCUGAGAGGGUGACCGGCCACACUGGGACUGAGACACGGCCCAGACUCCUACGGGAGGCAGCAGUGGGGAAUAUUGCACAAUGGGCGGAAGCCUGAUGCAGCGACGCCGCGUGAGGGAUGACGGCCUUCGGGUUGUAAACCUCUUUCAGCAGGGAAGAAGCCACAAGUGACGGUACCUGCAGAAGAAGCGCCGGCUAACUACGUGCCAGCAGCCGCGGUAAUACGUAGGGCGCAAGCGUUGUCCGGAAUUAUUGGGCGUAAAGAGCUCGUAGGCGGUUUGUCGCGUCUGCUGUGAAAGCCCGGGGCUCAACCCCGGGUCUGCAGUGGGUACGGGCAGACUAGAGUGCAGUAGGGGAGACUGGAAUUCCUGGUGUAGCGGUGAAAUGCGCAGAUAUCAGGAGGAACACCGAUGGCGAAGGCAGGUCUCUGGGCUGUUACUGACGCUGAGGAGCGAAAGCAUGGGGAGCGAACAGGAUUAGAUACCCUGGUAGUCCAUGCCGUAAACGUUGGGCACUAGGUGUGGGGGACAUUCCACGUUCUCCGCGCCGUAGCUAACGCAUUAAGUGCCCCGCCUGGGGAGUACGGCCGCAAGGCUAAAACUCAAAGGAAUUGACGGGGGCCCGCACAAGCGGCGGAGCAUGCGGAUUAAUUCGAUGCAACGCGAAGAACCUUACCAAGGCUUGACAUUCACCGGACCGCACUGGAGACAGUGUUUCCCUUCGGGGUCGGUGGACAGGUGGUGCAUGGUUGUCGUCAGCUCGUGUCGUGAGAUGUUGGGUUAAGUCCCGCAACGAGCGCAACCCUCGUUCUAUGUUGCCAGCACGUGAUGGUGGGGACUCAUAGGAGACUGCCGGGGUCAACUCGGAGAAAGGUGGGGAUGACGUC
This 1020-nucleotide ribosomal RNA is filed under the name Kocuria sp. RNAcentral describes it as "bacterial SSU rRNA". It matches the Rfam family "Bacterial small subunit ribosomal RNA", at positions 156 to 1186 of the family's 1533-position model. Lineage: Bacteria; Bacillati; Actinomycetota; Actinomycetes; Micrococcales; Micrococcaceae. The record is from RNAcentral.